RNAcentral lists this transfer RNA (69 nucleotides) under Marmota monax (woodchuck). Its description in RNAcentral is "tRNA.Thr". It matches the Rfam family "tRNA", at positions 5 to 66 of the family's 71-position model. Rfam says of the family: Transfer RNA (tRNA) molecules are approximately 80 nucleotides in length. Their secondary structure includes four short double-helical elements and three loops (D, anti-codon, and T loops). Further hydrogen bonds mediate the characteristic L-shaped molecular structure. tRNAs have two regions of fundamental functional importance: the anti-codon, which is responsible for specific mRNA codon recognition, and the 3' end, to which the tRNAs corresponding amino acid is attached (by aminoacyl-tRNA synthetases). tRNAs cope with the degeneracy of the genetic code in two manners: having more than one tRNA (with a specific anti-codon) for a particular amino acid; and 'wobble' base-pairing, i.e. permitting non-standard base-pairing at the 3rd anti-codon position. Lineage: Eukaryota; Metazoa; Chordata; Mammalia; Rodentia; Sciuridae. The record is from RNAcentral.
GUGUGUAGCUCAGUGGUAGAGCACUUGCCUAGUAUGUACAAGGCCCUGGGUUCAAUCCUCAGCACCACA